AACGAACGCUGGCGGCAUGCCUAACACAUGCAAGUCGAACGAGACCUUCGGGUCUAGUGGCGCACGGGUGCGUAACGCGUGGGAACCUGCCUUUAGGUUCGGAAUAACUCAGAGAAAUUUGAGCUAAUACCGGAUGAUGUCUUCGGACCAAAGAUUUAUCGCCUUUAGAUGGGCCCGCGUAAGAUUAGCUAGUUGGUGGGGUAAAGGCCUACCAAGGCGACGAUCUUUAGCUGGUCUGAGAGGAUGAUCAGCCACACUGGGACUGAGACACGGCCCAGACUCCUACGGGAGGCAGCAGUGGGGAAUAUUGGACAAUGGGCGAAAGCCUGAUCCAGCAAUGCCGCGUGAGUGAUGAA
This 356-nucleotide ribosomal RNA is filed under the name uncultured bacterium. RNAcentral's name for it is "bacterial SSU rRNA". It matches the Rfam family "Bacterial small subunit ribosomal RNA", at positions 29 to 412 of the family's 1533-position model. The record is from RNAcentral.